GGUGAGGAAGAGUGUAGGAAAACUAAUUUCAUGUAAAAAUGGGCUAUAAUUUCCUUGUUCCUUCUCCAUUCCCACUGCUCUACUUGACUAGCCUUAG
This 97-nucleotide small RNA is filed under the name Carlito syrichta (Philippine tarsier). RNAcentral's name for it is "Y RNA (ENSTSYG00000020388.2)". The record is from RNAcentral. Lineage: Eukaryota; Metazoa; Chordata; Mammalia; Primates; Tarsiidae.